UCGACAUUCUCCAACAGAUUGAGGUUCAAGAUCCUCACUUUCUUGCAUAAUGCUAGAUGCAACAUUAUAUGCAAAGACAUAAUCCACCACUAUAUCCACACGAUUAAAAUUUGUCUCAAUAUCGAUUGGAUUUAUUGAUAGUUCCUUAUUUUCCUUAGUCUCGGGCUCAAUGGAUUCUUCAUGAAUCUCAGAAUUUAUUAAUUCGUGAAUUUCCUCAUGAGAUUCUUUUGUUGUGUCAUUUUGAUCAUUUGCUUUACUUUUUCUAGGAUUUC
This 272-nucleotide long non-coding RNA is filed under the name Nicotiana benthamiana. Its description in RNAcentral is "long non-coding RNA (NBEN_LNC023677)". Lineage: Eukaryota; Viridiplantae; Streptophyta; Magnoliopsida; Solanales; Solanaceae. The record is from RNAcentral.